RNAcentral lists this ribosomal RNA (334 nucleotides) under uncultured eukaryote. RNAcentral describes it as "bacterial SSU rRNA". It matches the Rfam family "Eukaryotic small subunit ribosomal RNA", at positions 592 to 932 of the family's 1831-position model. The record is from RNAcentral.
CAAUAGCGUAUAUUAAAGUUGUUGCAGUUAAAAAGCUCGUAGUUGGAUUUCUGGGAGGGUGGCAUGUCCGCUAACGUGUGUGCAGCGGCGGCCCUUCCCUACUCCUUCCUUGUUAGUACGUCCUCUUGGCAUUCAUUUGCUGGUGGCGGGCUCAGAUAUUUUACCUUGAGAAAAUUAGAGUGUUUCAGGCAGGCUAGGCCGGAAUACAUUAGCAUGGAAUAAUGGAAUAGGACUACGGUCUCUUUGUUGGUUUGAGGGACUGCAGUAAUGAUUAAUAGGGAUAGUUGGGGGCAUUAGUAUUUAAUUGUCAGAGGUGGAAUUCUCGAGUAUUUAG